Molecule: long non-coding RNA, 547 nt
Organism: Homo sapiens (human)
Lineage: Eukaryota; Metazoa; Chordata; Mammalia; Primates; Hominidae
Product: long intergenic non-protein coding RNA 2542
Source: Ensembl
AUAACUGUGUUCUUUAGCAGAAAGGUGUUUUAUUAAAGAAGCAUAUGGACAAGGAACUAUCUCUGAAAUGUUUUCAGAGCUUCUCUGGUGUUACAUGCAUAGUAAAUAUUUUCUUUAAAUUAGAUGAAAAAUAUGGAUCCCCAUCCAUGUACCUUUGCUCAACUGUCCUCAGACCAGAUCCAGAAUUCACCCUGCUGUUUCUCCAUGAGUCUGACCUGCAUCAACUGCCUCCCUUAUUCUGGGAUUCCAGUUGUGGAGCUCAAGGACAAGUCCAUUCUGGGCUGGCUGUAUCCAACUUCUUUAGUCCAACUAUAUCCCCACUGGAAGCCAGGCUCUUUCCAACAGCUGUCACCCAUGCCUCUUUCUAUGUUUGUUAUCUGUCUCUAGGUUCUGGUAACUACUUCCUUCCCUUGCCCCUUCUGGCCUAGGGUGCUACCAAUCCCUCCUCCAAAUCCAACUGUCACUAGCCUCAAAGUACUUGUAGCUUCCUCACCUUACUUUCACCUUAAUAAAUGGUCCCCCUACUAUCUCUCUUCAAAGCACCCAA